This 512-nucleotide ribosomal RNA is filed under the name uncultured bacterium. Its description in RNAcentral is "partial 16S ribosomal RNA". It matches the Rfam family "Bacterial small subunit ribosomal RNA", at positions 28 to 506 of the family's 1533-position model. The record is from RNAcentral.
GACGAACGCUGGCGGCGUGCUUAACACAUGCAAGUCGAACGAAAAGAGGGAAAGAGCUUGCUCUUUCCGGAAUUGAGUGGCAAACGGGUGAGUAACACGUAAACAACCUGCCUUCAGGAUGGGGACAACAGACGGAAACGACUGCUAAUACCGAAUAAGUUCCAAGAGCCGCAUGGCCCAUGGAAGAAAAGGUGGCCUCUACCUGUAAGCUAUCGCCUGAAGAGGGGUUUGCGUCUGAUUAGCUGGUUGGAGGGGUAACGGCCCACCAAGGCGACGAUCAGUAGCCGGUCUGAGAGGAUGAACGGCCACACUGGAACUGAGACACGGUCCAGACUCCUACGGGAGGCAGCAGUGGGGAAUCUUCCGCAAUGGGCGAAAGCCUGACGGAGCAACGCCGCGUGAGUGAUGACGGCCUUCGGGUUGUAAAACUCUGUGAUCCGGGACGAAAAGGCAGAGUGCGAAGAACAAACUGCAUUGACGGUACCGGAAAAGCAAGCCACGGCUAACUACGU